Molecule: small nuclear RNA, 150 nt
Organism: Suncus etruscus (white-toothed pygmy shrew)
Lineage: Eukaryota; Metazoa; Chordata; Mammalia; Eulipotyphla; Soricidae
Product: U12 minor spliceosomal RNA
Exons: 1
Source: RefSeq, a predicted model, not a curated record
AUACCUUAAACUUAUGAGUAAGGAAAAUAAAGAUUCGGGGUGACGCCUGAAUCCUCUCUGCAACUGUGAGGUGAAUCUUUGUGUAGGUAAAGGUUGCCUUGCGGGUGACCAGCCUACUUUGCUGGAUGCCUGAGUGGAGCAAUGUGCCAU